Molecule: microRNA precursor, 96 nt
Filed under: Nicotiana sylvestris (wood tobacco)
Lineage: Eukaryota; Viridiplantae; Streptophyta; Magnoliopsida; Solanales; Solanaceae
Also listed under: 1 other name
Description: MIR6152 microRNA precursor family
Rfam family: MIR6152 microRNA precursor family
Source: Rfam by way of RNAcentral
UGGACAGAUUACUGUAUUCGACUGUAUUCACGGCGUGAAACAGGGGAUUACACUAUUUUUAAACGGAAAGUGUAUCAAUUAACAUAAUAGACUCCU